This 4564-nucleotide long non-coding RNA is filed under the name Marmota monax (woodchuck). The record is from RNAcentral. Lineage: Eukaryota; Metazoa; Chordata; Mammalia; Rodentia; Sciuridae.
AUGCACAGCAGACAAGCUGAGCCACACCCUAGCCACGCAUCAGCCUUUUAGCGCUACACAGACACAUCCCAGAACCUUUGCCUACAAAAGCGUUGCUUGCCUAUUUCCUGCCUGCGAUACUUCUGGCCUAGACUUGGAGUAUGUUCCCAUUGCGGUAGUCUCCCUCAGUAACAUUGUUCCUUGCUCAACUCCAGACUCACUUUUUAACUUUUGCUUUACAAUGCAAAAGAUAUCAUUUGGGAUUUGAUUUGGAAAAGGUUAAAAAAAAUUAAACUUGUAAGAAAAUUUGAUUGCUUAAAUGGGAUAUCAAAUUGCUAAGAAACAAAACUUGGUACCUAUAUAACCCAAAUGACAUUAAAGUAUUUCUCAAAUAGACACGGGUGGUAAUAUCAUUGAAAAAUUAUUAUCUAGUUCUUGUAAUCUGGGGCAUAGUAAAGCCAACACAAAAGACAGGACAUCAUUCCAAAGCACACAAUGUUCAUUUCUAUUCUGAUUCUUUAGAAGAGAAAGAAAAAUCUUUUACUAGCUCUGACUAAGAGGAUAUCACUAAUCCAAGAAAAAAAUUGUCAUUUUAAUAGAAAACCAAAUUCUUUUCUUGCAUUGGUAUAAUAUUCAAUAUUAAAUGUUUUCUUUUAAAUCUUACAAAUAAUCCCAUUAAAACUUGGCCAACUCUGACUACAAAAACUAGAAUCCUCUUUCCCUUAAACUUGGACAACUUUACCUAGUCAAGUGUUUCCAUUGACUUUCCUCUAUGUCAUUCUGGAACAGUCACUCAUUGUACACUGGAACAGAAUCACUCUUGUUUUCUGUCUCCUUCUAUUACAUGGAAAAAUAGAGGAGGUAUUAAAAAGCAAAGCUGUUUGAUGGAUGCUUGCUAAAAUAUCAAGGUAGAUCUUAAUCAACCCAAACUGCCUCAGUGAUAUUUUUGCUAAAAGAGGGCCUAAGACCUUAACAGGAAAAAAGUGGGUUGGGGUGGAAGGUCAGGAGUUCAGUUCAGGAUGUGUGAAGAUGCUUUCAAGGACCUCACUGCCUCAUCCUCCAUGGAGAUAGUAAAUAGGAUGCAGGACAUAGGAGCCUGGAGUCCAGGAGCCUUGUCUAGCUAAAGACGGAAAUUUGGAUGUUGAUAACCUAAACACAGACUUUAAGCCAUGCACAUAGAGGAAGUACCCUAUGGUAUGAAUGGGACAGACAGGAUGACCAAUGACCAAAGUCUGAGGUUCAGGGAUGCUCAGCAUAAAGGGACAGAGCUAGAAUUAAAUGACAAUAUGACCAUAUCAGGCAGUGAAUGCUAUGAGAAGAUUCAAGUAGUUUUGAAUAUAUCAAACUGUCAGCUUCAUUUACAUUCUUGAGUGGGUAUAGAGACAAAGAGGGCUUCCUUGAAGAGGAGACCCUAGGCAGACACCCAAAAACUAAGGAAAACAGGUAAAAAGUAAUAAAAUAAUAAAAAUAUAAAAUAAAACAAAAUAUCAACAACAUAGAUAUCAUGGAUGAGGAAUGAGGAUCUUAAUAAAAUAUCAAUAUAAAGAAUGAUCAUAUAGGCUGGGGCUGUAGCUCAGUGGCAGAGCUCUUGCCUAGCACAUCUGAGGCACUGGGUUCCAUCCUCAGCACCACAUAAAAAUACAAAAAAAAAAAAAGGUAUUGUUUCCAUCUACAUCUAAGGAAAAAAAAAUAGAGUGGUCAUAUAGCCAGGCACAGUGGCACAUGCCUGUAAUCCCAGCAGCUGGGGAGGCUGAGGCAGAAAGAUUGCAAAUUCAAAGCCAGACACAGCAAAAGCAAAGCUCUAAGCAACUCAGUGAGACCCUGUCUCUAAAUAAAAUGCAAAAUAGGGCUGGGAUGUGGCUAAGUGGUUGAGUGCCCCUGAGUUCAAUUUCUGGUACCCGCCCCCAGCAAAAAAAAAAAGUGGCCACAUAUCAAGGAUUCUUGAUAAGUUAGCUUAACAGGUUCUUUGCUAAAAUAGGGUUGGAUAGGCCAAAGUAAAAGUCUAGUCAAAAAAGUCCAAAAGAGCUUCAAUGAAGUUUGGCCAAGGAGAGAUAAUUUUUGAGUUGAUAAUCAUGAACUAAAUUUCAUAUGCCAUUAUUUUGUAGAAGACCAGCAGGACUGUGAAUAUAUAUCUCAUUUGUAGUCAUAAAUAUCCUUUUUCAAUGUGGGUAAAAUAAAUGUCUAAUAGAGCCAAAUCUAUAGAGCCACUCUGUAUCAUAGAAAAAUAAGAGGGAAAAAGUCUAUAAAUAGAAGCUUAUACCUAGUGUUUCAGAAUUUUACCUUACUUAAAUAUGAUCUAGGUAUCUAUUGAAUGUCUAUUAAUUAAUUCAAUUUAGUAUCAGACCAAGAUGUUAAUUCUACUCCCAAAUCUUAGAAACUAUCUUUAAACUAAUAUACUAGACUAUUCAACAUGAUAAAUUCCAAAAUAAAGUUUUUCAAAUAAUAAUUCAAUUUGAAUAAAUACAAAUGUACAUUUUAUAUCCAUAGAGUAACUGUAACGAAGGCUUAGUAAGCCAGCAAACCUGUAUAAGCUGAAUAAUGACAUGCUCAAAGAGAUAAAAAUGAGUGCUUGUAUAAUAAUUAAUACUGGUAACUCAGAAGACAUGGCUUUUUAUAUUAAAUCAUCAAUAUAAUUUUCCAAAAUUUCCCUAAAUUACAUGAACAUGAAUUCUUAAAACAUUUGAGUAAUUAUCUAUAAGAAUAUAGUUUAGCAUAUUGACAUCUAUUUGCUUGUGGCGCACACCUUUAAUCCCAGCGGCUCAGGAGGCUGAGGCAGGAGGAUUGCAAAUUCAAAGUCAGCCUCAGCAAUGGCAAGCGAGCGAGGCACUAAGCAACUCAGUAAGAGUCUGUCUCUAAAUAAAAUACAAAAUAGGGCUGGAGAUGUGGCUCAGAGGUCGAGUGCCCUGAGUUCAAUCCCUAGUACCAAAAAAGAAAAAAAAUUAAUUUCUUAAUCCAUGGAGACUUUAGGAAUAUUCCUUCUUUGUGGGUCUGAUAUUAGGGAUUGAAUCUAGGGUACUCUACUGCUGGGCUACAACCAAGCUCUUCCAUUUCUCAGUUUUGAGGCAGGGUUUCUCUAAGUUGCCGAGGCUGGCCUUGAAGCUGAGAUUCUCCCAAAUCACUGAAGAAUAUUCCGUUUUCAUAAGAUAUUAUUUAGGCUUAAGUCAAUCAAAACAGAGCUCCCUUACACAUUUUUAUGAUCUCUUUUAGUAAUGCUACCUGAGGUUAAGGAAAUCUCCCCACCAACAAUAAAUAUAUACAUGGACAUGAAAAACUUAGAGCUUUACUUCUGAAAUUUCAGCCACAUGUCAGGCAUAAACACAAAUACAAUACUCACUUGCUCAUUACGAGGGGCUCUUGUCUUAACAGUGGAUACAAAUUCUUCAAGUUUAAGGUAGGGGAAAAUAGAUAAGCGAACAGAAAGGAAUAACCACCUCAAUUUUCCGUCGACUUUCCUCCAACACAUCAAUGAAACAUCAAUAAACUAUUCAAUUCAUUUCCAAAGCUUACCAGAUGCCCAUGAACCAAUCAAACAAGCAAGUAAAGUCCAUCGAAAGGAAUCCACAACGUAUUCAAACAGAAGGAAAUCAGAUCCUUAGCACGCUACCAGCCGACAGGAGACCAGCGCUUGGGCUGCUGGGCAGAUACUGAGCACCAGGAGAGCUCCGGUGCCUCUGUUACCUGGUGGAGGAGAUGGAAGGCAAGGGCCCAUUUCUGAGCCACAGCACCAAACUGUCAAAAAAAAAACCCCGACAAGUUAGGAGAGACGUAUUAUUCUGGCCACUGCAACAGGAAGUUUGCUCCUGAGCUGAAGAACAACAGGAGACUCACCAGCUGAGACUGCAGGAGCCUUUUUAUAAGUUCUAGGAGGGAAGCUGUAGGAGGGAAGGAUGUGGCCUGAGGUCACAUGUUUUUGUCUGUUUUGGUUUGAUUUGUAUGGAAAAAAAAUAUGUGGUAAACAAACUCAGAGCAGGGUACUCUGAGCUAGUCAACUAUGCGACAUGUUUUUGUCUGUUUUGGUUUGAUUUGUAUGGAAAAAAAUAUGUGGUAAACAAACUCAGAGCAGUGUACUCUGAGCUAGUCAACUAUGCCACAUGUUUUUGUCUGUUUUGGUUUGAUUUGUAUGGAAAAAAAUAUGUGGUAAACAAACUCAGAGCAGGGUUUUCUGAGCUAGUCAACUAUGUGACAUGUUUUUGUCUGUUUUCGUUUGAUUUGUAUGGAAAAAAAUAUGUGGUAAACAAACUCAGAGCAGGGUACUCUGAGCUAGUCAACUAUGGACAAAAUAGCAGGUGACCAUGUUUGGCUUUGUCACAUGUAAACAAAGGUCUUGCGGAAGAAUUUCCAGAAAUGGUAACAACAAAAUGCAGCUUCAGGAUGGGGAUGAGCCCUCUGCUCCUCCUUGAAGGCCACCCAAGUCAUUUGUCCUUCUUCAGCCUGCCCAUCCCUCUGAUGGAAUGCAUGUCCCUUUCUAGCUGCCCCUCCCACCCUAGCCUCCUCUAUAGUGUCUUCCAGCCUUUCUCUAUCCAUGUCUUUACUUUCACUAAUAACAACCCAGUUAGUACAUCACCUUUUCCAUACAAAACUGCAC